This 468-nucleotide ribosomal RNA is filed under the name uncultured bacterium. Its description in RNAcentral is "partial 16S ribosomal RNA". It matches the Rfam family "Bacterial small subunit ribosomal RNA", at positions 28 to 507 of the family's 1533-position model. The record is from RNAcentral.
GACGAACGCUGGCGGCGUGCUUAACACAUGCAAGUCGAACGGAAAGGCCCUGCUUUUGUGGGGUGCUCGAGUGGCGAACGGGUGAGUAACACGUGAGUAACCUGCCCUUGACUUUGGGAUAACUUCAGGAAACUGGGGCUAAUACCGGAUAGGAGCUCCUGCUGCAUGGUGGGGGUUGGAAAGUUUCGGCGGUUGGGGAUGGACUCGCGGCUUAUCAGCUUGUUGGUGGGGUAGGUGCUUACCAAGGCUUUGACGGGUAGCCGGCCUGGGAGGGUGAACGGCCACCUGGGGACUGCGGUACGCACCAGAAGGCUACGGGAGGCAGUAGGGGGGAGUAUUGCGGAAUGGGGGGAAGCGUGAUGUAGCAACGUCGCGUUCGGGAUGACCGCUUUCGGGUUGUAAACCGCUUUCGCCUGUGCCGAAGAGGGAGUGACGGUAAUGGGUCAAGAAGCACCGGCUAACUACGUG